This is a long non-coding RNA of Balaenoptera ricei (Rice's whale), 644 nucleotides long. RefSeq lists it as uncharacterized. Lineage: Eukaryota; Metazoa; Chordata; Mammalia; Artiodactyla; Balaenopteridae. The transcript has 3 exons. The record is from RefSeq and is a predicted model, not a curated record.
GGGCUGUUGCGGCAGCCGGCGGGGUAGCGAGGUGGAGCGGUGUGGGAAGACCCAAGCCGGUACCUCUGGGACUGAACGGCGGCGGGUGGACUGCGGGCAGCCUCCGCAGGCCUGGGCAGGCCUCCUGAGAGUCUAGGGCGUAAGAGUUUUGGGGGCUUCGGAAAGCGGGCUGCGGACCCCUGCCUGAGGCUUUGGUUUGAGCCCUGGAUCCGGCCUUGUGUUUCCCCGGAAGGAUGGCGUCUCAGUCUUUCCUGAAGUUGGGCGCCAUGCAGAAUGCCAUGAGUUUGAAGCUGGAGGACGGAGGGCUUAGAGAUGCUUGAGGGACGUCCUUAACCUACGUGAAAUGUUGGAGGUUGAGGUGAAAAAUAUGGCUUUGAUAUCUUCAUGGAAAACUGCAUUAUUUCAAUCCUGAAUCUGGUUCGGUUCCCUUAUUGACUUAUUACUAUAUUAAAAAUGUUUAUUUAGCAGUGAUUGUAAAAUGAAAGUAAUUAACAUGUACAUGUUUUUUGGGGGGAGACUAAGGGGAAACAGGUGUUCAGCCUAGAAAAACAUUUCUCAUUGGAUUUCCUGUGAAGUCAGUGUGUCUUGGGUUUAACUUUGAAACAAAUUAAAAAAUUUUAAAAUUAAAAAAAAAGUUUACUUAA